RNAcentral lists this transfer RNA (87 nucleotides) under Dialister sp. RNAcentral's name for it is "tRNA-Leu". It matches the Rfam family "tRNA". Rfam says of the family: Transfer RNA (tRNA) molecules are approximately 80 nucleotides in length. Lineage: Bacteria; Bacillati; Bacillota; Negativicutes; Veillonellales; Veillonellaceae. The record is from RNAcentral.
GCUCACGUGGAGAAAUUGGCAGACUCUCAAGACUUAAAAUCUUGUGGUGGAAACACCGUGCCGGUUCAAGUCCGGCCGUGAGCACCA